GAUUAUAAAUAGACCUUGUCCUCUCAUAAUCGCGGCUG
Molecule: non-coding RNA, 38 nt
Filed under: unclassified sequences
Description: S4-Bacteroidia ribosomal protein leader
Rfam family: S4-Bacteroidia ribosomal protein leader
Source: RNAcentral